This 582-nucleotide ribosomal RNA is filed under the name Triticum aestivum (bread wheat). Its description in RNAcentral is "partial small subunit ribosomal RNA". The record is from RNAcentral. Lineage: Eukaryota; Viridiplantae; Streptophyta; Magnoliopsida; Poales; Poaceae.
AUGGCCGCCGGCCGGUUUCUGCCGCUGGCGGGCCGCCGCAUCAUCGCGGCCCUGUCCCAGCCGUCCGCCCCCUCUUCCCGCGGAAUUUUCUUCCCUUCUACUGCGACCGCAGGCUUGAGGUCCCUCCAGACGAUCAUCGAAGCGAGCAGCAACGCGUCGACUGAGCGUCGCCAUGACCCGGAGGAUCACAAGACCGACACCCCGCCGCCGCCGCCAGCUUCGGUCCCUGCAGCAGCAGCGGAGUCGAGCUUCAAGGUCAGAGACGCGUCGACCCUGAAGAUCUCGCCGAGGCACGACAUGGCGAUGAUCUUCACGUGCAAGGUCUGCGAGACGAGGUCCGUGAAGAUGGCCAGCCGGGACUCGUACGACAACGGGGUGGUGGUCGCCCGCUGCGGCGGCUGCAACAACCUGCACCUGAUGGCGGACAGGCUCGGCUGGUUUGGCCAGCCGGGGAGCAUCGAGGACUUCCUGGCGGAGCAGGGGCAGGACGUGAAGAAAGGCGACACGGAUACUCUCAGCUUCACCCUGGAGGACUUGGCCGGGUCUCAGGUCAAAUCGAAGGAACCUUCUAGUGAAAAUUAG